RNAcentral lists this ribosomal RNA (176 nucleotides) under uncultured bacterium. RNAcentral's name for it is "partial 16S ribosomal RNA". It matches the Rfam family "Bacterial small subunit ribosomal RNA", at positions 335 to 524 of the family's 1533-position model. The record is from RNAcentral.
ACUCCUACGGGAGGCAGCAGUGGGAAUAUUGCACAAUGGGCGGAAGCCUGAUGCAGCGACGCCGCGUGAGGGAUGACGGCCUUCGGGUUGUAAACCUCUUUCAGCAGGGACGAAGCGCAAGUGACGGUACCUGCAGAAGAAGCGCCGGCCAACUACGUGCCAGCAGCCGCGGUAAU